This 534-nucleotide ribosomal RNA is filed under the name uncultured bacterium. Its description in RNAcentral is "bacterial SSU rRNA". It matches the Rfam family "Bacterial small subunit ribosomal RNA", at positions 8 to 525 of the family's 1533-position model. The record is from RNAcentral.
AGAGUUUGAUUAUGGCUCAGGAUGAACGCUAGCGACAGGCUUAACACAUGCAAGUCGAGGGGCAGCGGGGGUGAAGGCUUGCCUUCACCUGCCGGCGACCGGCGCACGGGUGAGUAACACGUAUGCAACCUGCCCGUGACAGUGGGAUAAUCCGGAGAAAUCCGGUCUAAUACCGCAUGAUCCCCUGUGGAGACAUCUCCACGGGGGCAAAGGAAGUAAUUCCGGUCACGGAUGGGCAUGCGUCGCAUUAGCUAGUUGGCGGGGUAACGGCCCACCAAGGCGACGAUGCGUAGGGGUUCUGAGAGGAAGGUCCCCCACACUGGUACUGAGACACGGACCAGACUCCUACGGGAGGCAGCAGUGAGGAAUAUUGGUCAAUGGGCGCGAGCCUGAACCAGCCAAGUCGCGUGAGGGAAGACGGUCCUAUGGAUUGUAAACCUCUUUUGCCGGGGAGCAUAAGGAGCCACGUGUGGCUCAUCGAGAGUACCCGGAGAAAAAGCAUCGGCUAACUCCGUGCCAGCAGCCGCGGUAAUA